Gracilinanus agilis (Agile Gracile Mouse Opossum) is the source of this 190-nucleotide small nuclear RNA. RefSeq annotates it as U2 spliceosomal RNA. The transcript has a single exon. NCBI's taxonomy places the organism in Eukaryota, Metazoa, Chordata, Mammalia, Didelphimorphia, Didelphidae. The record is from RefSeq and is a predicted model, not a curated record.
AUUGCUUCUUGGCCUUUUGGCUAAGAUCAAGUGUAGUAACAAUAAAAGGAGUAAUUACCCAUACGAUUUUCUUGUCUGAAGGCACUGGAAAGUACGUUUUAGCUUAGUUUCCUAUGGAAUAAAGACUCAUUCAUGUAAGUCUUUAGCUUGAAUAACUUUUACUGCCCUUAAGUUUUUUAGGCUAAAUUUU